GACGAACGCUGGCGGCGUGCUUAACACAUGCAAGUCGAACGAUGAAGCCGGAGCUUGCUCCGGUGGAUUAGUGGCGAACGGGUGAGUAACACGUGAGCAAUCUGCCCUUGACUCUGGGAUAACUGCGGGAAACUGUAGCUAAUACCGGAUACGACACCUGGGGCAUCCCAGGGUGUGGAAAGAAUUUCGGUCAAGGAUGAGCUCGCGGCCUAUCAGCUAGUUGGUGAGGUAAUGGCUCACCAAGGCGACGACGGGUAGCCGGCCUGAGAGGGUGACCGGCCACACUGGAACUGAGACACGGUCCAGACACCUACGGGAGGCAGCAGUGGGGAAUAUUGCACAAUGGGCGAAAGCCUGAUGCAGCAACGCCGCGUGAGGGAUGAAGGCCUUCGGGUUGUAAACCUCUUUUAGCAGGGAAGAAGCGAAAGUGACGGUACCUGCAGAAAAAGCACCGGCUAACUACGUGCCAGCCGCCGCGGUAA
This 482-nucleotide ribosomal RNA is filed under the name uncultured bacterium. Its description in RNAcentral is "partial 16S ribosomal RNA". It matches the Rfam family "Bacterial small subunit ribosomal RNA", at positions 28 to 523 of the family's 1533-position model. The record is from RNAcentral.